UAACAGGACAUUUAUUGAGAAAGUAUAGCAAGUACAGAAGUUAAAAAAGCAUCCCCCAAAUCGAGAAUGCACUCUUCUUUCUGUGAAUACCUGGUCCCUGGGAAGAGCAGGCUCAACUUGAAUCACAAAGAUAUUCAGACACACAUAUAAGGAACAUAUGGGUCUCAAGAGGUACCUUGUGUCUCAGCCUGGGGAAUCCUUUUCUCCUUUCUGGGAGUCCCCAUCAACUUUUCUAAAGGGUGUAGAGUUCCUGAUGAGUGAGACCCUCCUUUGCUCAGCUGGAAUACCUCCUUGCGGCAUGCAGUUUCCUUUUUUCCCCCUCAGGAAGCUUAAGUUUUAUUGGUAAAUAGUGUUUAUACAUAUGUCAAACCAGGUCAGGUAAUAAGAAUUUAUUAGGCACCAACCAAGUGAUAGAUAUUGUACAGAGAAAUACACUCUACCCCCCCCCCCCAAAUCUAUUAUUUUCAAGUAGCUCACAUUCUUUUUUAGAAAAUAAUUUUAGUUAAUGUUUUUAUGUCACUAAAAUAUUAUUUAGUAUAUUUUUCUUUUUUAAACAAAUUUCUUCUUCUUUCUUUCUUCCUUGCUUGCUUGCUUUCUUCCUUUCUUCCUCUCUCUCUCUCUCUUUCUCUCUUUUUCCUUCCUUCCUUCCUUCCUUCCUUCCUUCCUUCCUUCCUUCCUUCUUUCUUUCUUUCUUUCUUUCUUUCUUUCUUUCUUUCUUUCUUUCUUUCUUUCUUUCUUUCUUUCUUUCUUUCUUUCUUUCUUUCUUUCUUUCUUUCUUUCUUUCUUUCUUUCUUUCUUUCUUUCUUUCUUUCUUUCUUUCUUUCUUUCUUUCUUUCUUUCUUUCUUUCUUUCUUUCUUUCUUUCUUUCUUUCUUUCUUUCUUCCCUUACCUUCAGUCUUAGAAUCAAUACUGUGUAUUAGCUCCAAGGUAGAAGAGUGGCAAGGGCUAGGCAAUGAGGGUUAAGUGACUUGCCCAGGGUCACACAGCUGGGAAGUGUCUGAGGUCAGAUUUGAACCCAGAUUCUGUUUUUUCUUCCAUAUCUUCUUUCUCACACCUUCAACUUACCUUUUUUUUUCCUUUUAAAUAAACCCUUACCUUCCAUUUUGGAGUAAAUACUG
RNAcentral lists this long non-coding RNA (1118 nucleotides) under Monodelphis domestica (gray short-tailed opossum). RNAcentral's name for it is "lncRNA (ENSMODG00000044354.1)". Lineage: Eukaryota; Metazoa; Chordata; Mammalia; Didelphimorphia; Didelphidae. The record is from RNAcentral.